ACCCGCUGAACUUAAGCAUAUCAAUAAGCGGAGGAAAAGAAACCAACAGGGAUUGCCCUAGUAACGGCGAGUGAAGCGGCAACAGCUCAAAUUUGAAAUCUGGCUCUUUUAGAGUCCGAGUUGUAAUUUGCGGAGGGCGCUUUGGCUUUGGCAGCGGUCCAAGUUCCUUGGAACAGGACGUCACAGAGGGUGAGAAUCCCGUACGUGGUCGCUGGCUAUUGCCGUGUAAAGCCCCUUCGACGAGUCGAGUUGUUUGGGAAUGCAGCUCUAAAUGGGAGGUACAUUUCUUCUAAAGCUAAAUAUUGGCCAGAGACCGAUAGCGCACAAGUAGAGUGAUCGAAAGAUGAAAAGCACUUUGGAAAGAGAGUCAAACAGCACGUGAAAUUGUUGAAAGGGAAGCGCUUGCAGCCAGACUUGCUUACAGUUGCUCAUCCGGGCUUUUGCCCGGUGCACUCUUCUGUAGGCAGGCCAGCAUCAGUUUGGGCGGUAGGAUAAAGGUCUCUGUCACGUACCUCUCUUCGGGGAGGCCUUAUAGGGGAGACGACAUACUACCAGCCUGGACUGAGGUCCGCGCAUCUGCUAGGAUGCUGGCGUAAUGGCUGU
RNAcentral lists this ribosomal RNA (603 nucleotides) under uncultured fungus. RNAcentral describes it as "eukaryotic LSU rRNA". It matches the Rfam family "Eukaryotic large subunit ribosomal RNA", at positions 23 to 641 of the family's 3401-position model. The record is from RNAcentral. Lineage: Eukaryota; Fungi.